UCGAUUUACCUUCGGGUAUUGAGGAUGGCGGACGGGUGAGUAACGCGUAAGGAACUUGCCUCUUGGUCUGGGACAACUGUUGGAAACGACAGCUAAUACCGGAUAUUAUGAGAUUCUCGCAUGGGAAACUUAUGAAAGCUAUAUGCGCCAAGAGAGAGCCUUGCGUUCCAUUAGCUAGUUGGUGGGGUAACGGCCCACCAAGGCGACGAUGGAUAGCCGGCCUGAGAGGGUGAACGGCCACAAGGGGACUGAGACACGGCCCUUACUCCUACGGGAGGCAGCAGUGGGGAAUAUUGGACAAUGGGCCACAAGCCUGAUCCAGCAAUUCUGUGUGCACGAUGAAGGUCUUCGGAUUGUAAAGUGCUUUCAGUUGGGAAGAAGAAAGUGACGGUACCAACAGAAGAAGCGACGGCUAAAUACGUGCCAGCAGCCGCGGUAAUACGUAUGUCGCAAGCGUUAUCCGGAUUUAUUGGGCGUAAAGCGCGUCUAGGCGGAAAAAUAAGUCUGAUGUUAAAAUGCGAGGCUCAACUCCGUAUUGCGUUGGAAACUGUUUUUCUAGAGUACUGGAGAGGUGGGCGGAACUACAAGUGUAGAGGUGAAAUUCGUAGAUAUUUGUAGGAAUGCCGAUGGAGAAGUCAGCUCACUGGACAGAUACUGACGCU
This 662-nucleotide ribosomal RNA is filed under the name uncultured bacterium. Its description in RNAcentral is "bacterial SSU rRNA". It matches the Rfam family "Bacterial small subunit ribosomal RNA", at positions 69 to 747 of the family's 1533-position model. The record is from RNAcentral.